UUAACUACAGUAUAUAAUUCAAUUUGCUAUGUUAAAGAGGCGACUGUUCGGGGUAUUUCAAAUCAAGCUCAAAGUUGGAGUUCUCGAGAGAGGAAAGAGCGGGCCAUUGAAUGCAGGAAAGGAUCUGGAAAGUCAAUCUGCGGAUAGAAAAGGAAAAUCUGAGAUUCGGAAGUUGAUUUCUCACAGCUCUGGGUCGAGAUUUGUGAUUCUGGACUCUGAAAUGGAGGAAGACGGACAGGAAAGGAAUAAUGUCGAUGGAAGAAGAUCUCCUCCAAAAUUGAAGCGGAAAUUAAGCGUCAAUCUAUCUUCAUAAUUGAAGCGGAAAUAGAACAGCAAUAACUUUCCAGAAAAGGCAGAAGAUAUCAUGCACCAGACUCCUCCAAAAUUGAGGUUGAUUCCGCACUAGAACGAGAUUUUCCAAAAAUGCAGCAGAUAUCAUCCACCAGAUCUUCUCCAACAUUGAGGUCGAUUCCGCGACAGAACAAGAUUCAAACGGAGCAGCAACAAAUUUCCAAAAAAUGCAGCAGAUAUCAUGCACCAGAUCUCCUCCAAAAUUGAGUUUGAUUCCGCGCCAGAGCAAGAAGAUUCAAACGGAGCAGCAACAACUUUCCAAAAGGCAGCAGAUAUGAUUCCGUGCCAGAGCAAGAUACGUUUUCUUCUAUUCAAGUUUAUUUUGAGUUUUAUAUAGAACAAUUAAUUAUACCUUGAGUAGUUCCUCUCAUGCUACAAAUGAUUUUUAUAUAUGUAAAUUAUAAUUAAACAUAAUUUAAUAUAAUAAUAAAAUCUCAAAUUAUCUCA
RNAcentral lists this long non-coding RNA (798 nucleotides) under Carica papaya (papaya). RNAcentral describes it as "long non-coding RNA (CPAP_LNC004815)". The record is from RNAcentral. Lineage: Eukaryota; Viridiplantae; Streptophyta; Magnoliopsida; Brassicales; Caricaceae.